AUGAACGCUGGCGGCGUGCCUAAUACAUGCAAGUCGAGCGAACAGACGAGGAGCUUGCUCCUCUGACGUUAGCGGCGGACGGGUGAGUAACACGUGGAUAACCUACCUAUAAGACUGGGAUAACUUCGGGAAACCGGAGCUAAUACCGGAUAAUAUAUUGAACCGCAUGGUUCAAUAGUGAAAGACGGUUUUGCUGUCACUUAUAGAUGGAUCCGCGCCGCAUUAGCUAGUUGGUAAGGUAACGGCUUACCAAGGCAACGAUGCGUAGCCGACCUGAGAGGGUGAUCGGCCACACUGGAACUGAGACACGGUCCAGACUCCUACGGGAGGCAGCAGUAGGGAAUCUUCCGCAAUGGGCGGAAGCCUGACGGAGCAACGCCGCGUGAGUGAUGAAGGUCUUCGGAUCGUAAAACUCUGUUAUUAGGGAAGAACAAAUGUGUAAGUAACUAUGCACGUCUUGACGGUAACUAAUCAGAAAGCCACGGCUAACUACGUG
Molecule: ribosomal RNA, 496 nt
Filed under: uncultured bacterium
Lineage: Bacteria
Description: partial 16S ribosomal RNA
Rfam family: Bacterial small subunit ribosomal RNA
Source: RNAcentral